CGGCGUGCCUAACACAUGCAAGUCGUACGGAAAGCCGGCUUCGGCUGGUGAGUAAAGUGGCGCACGGGUGAGUAACGCGUGGAUAAUCUGCCCUUAAGUAGUUGGAAUAACGUACCGAAAGGUGCGCUAAUACCGCAUAAUGCCUGGCAACACAAGUUGUCCGGCCAAAGAAGGCCUCUGUUUACAAGCUUUCGCUUCAGGAUGAGUCCGCGUACCAUUAGCUUGUUGGUGGGGUAAUGGCCUACCAAGGCUGCGAUGGUUAGCUGGUCUGAGAGGAUGAUCAGCCACACUGGAACUGAGACACGGUCCAGACUCCUACGGGAGGCAGCAGUGAGGAAUAUUGCGCAAUGGGGGCAACCCUGACGCAGCAACGCCGCGUGAGUGAGGAAGGUUUUCGGACUGUAAAGCUCUGUCGAGCGGGAAGAAGUGUACCAUGGCUAAUAUCCAUGAUAUUUGACGGUACCGCUAGAGGAAGCACCGGCUAACUCCGUG
RNAcentral lists this ribosomal RNA (492 nucleotides) under uncultured bacterium. RNAcentral's name for it is "bacterial SSU rRNA". It matches the Rfam family "Bacterial small subunit ribosomal RNA", at positions 40 to 507 of the family's 1533-position model. The record is from RNAcentral.